GCUUGGAGUGAGGGGGUUGGAGAACAUUUUGUCGUGUGAGUUGGAGGUUGGAGGUUGGAGGUUGGAGAGCGGAGAUUGGAGAGCAAGAGCGCAGAGCAAGAGCUGGUGAGGGAUUAUGUAUGGAUGGAUGGGCUGUGCUGUGAAAUGGAUAUAUACAUAUCGAUGUAUACUGACUGACUAACUAAACGGUCUAUACUAGGAGUUGGAGUUGGAGUUGCAUCAGAUAACGUGGAGUGCAAGGAUAAGCUAACUUAGUUCGAUUGGGUAUUUAAUAUGGUUUGCACAGUAUGUGUAUGUAUAGGUAUAUGUACAGCUAUAUUUUUGUCUAUGUUGUUAUCGCAAGUAGAGGGAAAAGCCGAAAAAAUUGAUAAAGGGGAAAAAAGUAAAUAACGUGAAGAAGAAGAAGAAGAAGACGAGAGAAUAGAAGAUAGGAUUUGCCAAAGGUUUAAAAAUUGGCAAGAUAUAAAAGCUCGAAAACGAAAGGACCCCUGCAGGACUAGGAACCAUGGCCAGGACCAGAAAUAGAUACUAUUCUAUCAACAGACAUCAAUAGAAAAAAGGAAAACACGAAAAAAAGUCGUUGCAAGAUUUAGGAACAGAACGGAGUGGAGAGAAAACGGGAAAAGAUUUCCAUCAGGGACCGAUGGAAUGCUCCCACGCCGUCGCGACAUCAUUCGUC
Molecule: small RNA, 679 nt
Filed under: Histoplasma capsulatum var. duboisii H88
Lineage: Eukaryota; Fungi; Ascomycota; Eurotiomycetes; Onygenales; Ajellomycetaceae
Description: Histoplasma capsulatum H88 hypothetical RNA
Source: RNAcentral